RNAcentral lists this ribosomal RNA (699 nucleotides) under Salmonella enterica subsp. enterica serovar Kentucky. RNAcentral's name for it is "partial 23S ribosomal RNA". It matches the Rfam family "Bacterial large subunit ribosomal RNA", at positions 2232 to 2925 of the family's 2925-position model. The record is from RNAcentral. Lineage: Bacteria; Pseudomonadati; Pseudomonadota; Gammaproteobacteria; Enterobacterales; Enterobacteriaceae.
CCCGUAAUCCGGGUUGCGGACAGUGUCUGGUGGGUAGUUUGACUGGGGCGGUCUCCUCCUAAAGAGUAACGGAGGAGCACGAAGGUUGGCUAAUCCUGGUCGGACAUCAGGAGGUUAGUGCAAUGGCAUAAGCCAGCUUGACUGCGAGCGUGACGGCGCGAGCAGGUGCGAAAGCAGGUCAUAGUGAUCCGGUGGUUCUGAAUGGAAGGGCCAUCGCUCAACGGAUAAAAGGUACUCCGGGGAUAACAGGCUGAUACCGCCCAAGAGUUCAUAUCGACGGCGGUGUUUGGCACCUCGAUGUCGGCUCAUCACAUCCUGGGGCUGAAGUAGGUCCCAAGGGUAUGGCUGUUCGCCAUUUAAAGUGGUACGCGAGCUGGGUUUAGAACGUCGUGAGACAGUUCGGUCCCUAUCUGCCGUGGGCGCUGGAGAACUGAGGGGGGCUGCUCCUAGUACGAGAGGACCGGAGUGGACGCAUCACUGGUGUUCGGGUUGUCAUGCCAAUGGCACUGCCCGGUAGCUAAAUGCGGAAGAGAUAAGUGCUGAAAGCAUCUAAGCACGAAACUUGCCCCGAGAUGAGUUCUCCCUGAGACUUUAGGUCUCCUGAAGGAACGUUGAAGACGACGACGUUGAUAGGCCGGGUGUGUAAGCGCAGCGAUGCGUUGAGCUAACCGGUACUAAUGAACCGUGAGGCUUAACCUU